CUCAGAAUGAACAGUGGACGGGAGCGACCGGCAGGGUGAGUUCAAACACAAUGGAAGAGUUUUCCUUGGGAAGGAG
This 76-nucleotide long non-coding RNA is filed under the name Pan troglodytes (chimpanzee). RNAcentral describes it as "lncRNA (ENSPTRG00000053716.1)". The record is from RNAcentral. Lineage: Eukaryota; Metazoa; Chordata; Mammalia; Primates; Hominidae.